RNAcentral lists this ribosomal RNA (490 nucleotides) under uncultured bacterium. RNAcentral describes it as "partial 16S ribosomal RNA". It matches the Rfam family "Bacterial small subunit ribosomal RNA", at positions 30 to 507 of the family's 1533-position model. The record is from RNAcentral.
AUUGAACGCUGGCGGCAGGCCUAACACAUGCAAGUCGAACGGUAACAGGAAGCAGCUUGCUGCUUCGCUGACGAGUGGCGGACGGGUGAGUAAUGUCUGGGAAACUGCCUGAUGGAGGGGGAUAACUACUGGAAACGGUAGCUAAUACCGCAUAACGUCGCAAGACCAAGGAGGGGGACCUUAGGGCCUCUUGCCAUCGGAUGUGCCCAGAUGGGAUUAGCUAGUAGGUGGGGUAACGGCUCACCUAGGCGACGAUCCCUAGCUGGUCUGAGAGGAUGACCAGCCACACUGGAACUGAGACACGGUCCAGACUCCUACGGGAGGCAGCAGUGGGGAAUAUUGCACAAUGGGCGCAAGCCUGAUGCAGCCAUGCCGCGUGUAUGAAGAAGGCCUUCGGGUUGUAAAGUACUUUCAGCGGGGAGGAAGGGAGUAAAGUUAAUACCUUUGCUCAUUGACGUUACCCGCAGAAGAAGCACCGGCUAACUCCGUG